UGCUGAAAUAGCACAAUAAAUAAUUAUAAGGGCAGGUGGUGUAGUGGUAUCACGCUUGAUUUGCAUUCAAGA
Plasmodium vivax (malaria parasite P. vivax) is the source of this 72-nucleotide non-coding RNA. NCBI's taxonomy places the organism in Eukaryota, Apicomplexa, Aconoidasida, Haemosporida, Plasmodiidae. The record is from the annotation of a RefSeq genome assembly.